Molecule: RNA transcript, 2796 nt
Organism: Vitis riparia (riverbank grape)
Lineage: Eukaryota; Viridiplantae; Streptophyta; Magnoliopsida; Vitales; Vitaceae
Gene name: probable ADP-ribosylation factor GTPase-activating protein AGD14
Exons: 15
Source: RefSeq, a predicted model, not a curated record
CAAACACCGGUACCCUCACCGUUGAAACCGGCGAUUUUUUCUCUCCUUUGACCCCCCUCUCUCGUUCUCUCUCUACCAUCGAUUUUCACUUCCUCAUGUCGGUUUCCAAACAUCUGCAAAUUCCACAUGUUCACUUCCCUCCAUUUCUAGGGUUUCUCCGCACAUUUUCCAAUGCAGAUUUAAUUUUGUUUAUUCCAUUCAGGAAUUUGUACAAAUGGGGAAUAAGGUGAAGGAGGAAGAGAAAAUCGAGAGGACAAUUCGGGGCCUUUUGAAGCUUGCUGAGAACCGGAGAUGUAUCAAUUGCAACAGUUUGGGGCCACAAUAUGUUUGCGCGACUUUCUUGACAUUUGUUUGCACAAACUGCAGUGGAAUUCAUCGAGAGUUCACACAUCGGAUAAAAUCUGUAUCGAUGGCUAAAUUUACUACAGAAGAAGUCACUGCUCUUCAAGCAGGGGGAAAUGAGCGAGCAAGGGAAAUUUAUCUCAAAGAUUGGGAUCCACAACGACAUUCCCUCCCUGACAGCAGUAACCUUCUCAAACUCCGGGAAUUUAUUAAGCAUGUCUAUGUGGAUAGAAAAUAUACUGGCGAGAGGAAUGUCGACAAGCUCCCAAUGGUGAAAGUGGGUAACAGUGGAUCUAGGAACUCAAGUCUUGAGGUUGCAUGUGAAUGGCGUAACAGUGAAAGAUCUAGUCCUAGCGGAAGAAGUGGUGACAAUAGUAUCAGAUAUUACUAUGAUGAAAGAAGAAGCCCUCGAUUUUCCCACGAACAUUCAAGAUCUGGUGGUUUCAGGAGAAAUCCUGUCCGUUUUGAGGUAGUUGAUGACAGGGUUCGAGAUGAUAGACUUGGAGGUGGCAGACGAACUGAAAGCAACAGAUUUUCUAAUGGAGAAUCAAGGCAAAUUAGUAGAUUGCCUGACUCUCAAAGGAAGGUGGAUGUAUCCAGUUCCCCAGAGGUACGCCCUGUAAGCAAUAUUCUGGGGGAAAAUGUUUCUCCUCUACAUGCGGGUGAACUUCCUAAUACAAAUGACAAGAAGGAUGCCAAUGCCUCAGCUCAUCCGAAGAAGAUUGCAUCUUCCAGUAGCAUAAGAUCUAUUGAUCGGAACCCUACAGAACCUAAAAUGGCAAACUCAGGAAGCCUGAUUGAUUUGAGUUCCAAUCCUGGUCCUGCUGAUGCUGCAGCUGUCUCACAAACACAGCCAGCACCUUCAUCUACCGAUAUUGGAAACUUGGCCUCCGGGGAAGUAUCAUCAAAAAAUAAAGCCUCUGAUUCUCCAAGUACAAAUUUUUUGGAAUCUUUGCUGUCAGAAUUAUCAGUGCCGGCAGUUGUACCUGGCGGUAACAUCUCUGAAGGACCGAGUAGUGGUAACAUGCUAACAACCCACAUUGUUGGUGUUUCUUCAACUUCACCUCCAGUGAACAUGCUGGAAUUACCUGAUAACAGCGGUGCUUCUAUAUCCACAUCAAUGAUCAACAAAUCAAUGCUAAUCCCUAGUGAAGGUGCUCCAGCAGCUUCACAAGUGGGGAAGAUGCCAAUGUUGGCUGGUGACAGUGGUGAUUUCAUUGAUGAAGUUCCUGAACAGCUGCAGUUACGAGACAUGCAGAAAUGCUCACCUUCUGCAUCCCCUUCUGCGGCUAGUAGCUCAACCAGUCAACAGACUUCUCAAUUGGGUGGAAUUCUAUGCGGUCAGCCACAGACUUCAUCAUUUCUGUCAAACACAAGAGGACCUUUUAGCACCUCUGAAAAAUCUUCUCAAUCUGUCUCAGAACUGGGACAAGGUAUAAGUUCUCCAGUUGGAUCACAGCCUCCUCAAAUGGAAGCAAAGCCCAGUGGAAGAAAGGAACUUCCAGCGGACCUUUUCACUGCAACCUAUUCACCAACCCCAUCACCAUUCCCAGGUUGGCAAACUGGUUCACCUUAUGGCAUGGGAUUUAGGAUGCAGUAUCAUCCUGUUGCAAUGACUACACCAGCCUUUCCCAGCUCUGUAAAAUCAACAAACCCAUUCGAUUUCAAUGAUGAAACAACUCAAGUUCAAGCCCCAGUGUUCCCUUCCAUGGCAUCUUUGCAAGGAGCAUUACCGAGUGUGUCAGCUCCUGUGGGCAUAUCACAUGCUUCCAGUCUUGGUGUUCUUCCGCAGAUGAUGCAGCCUCAGUCACCAUCUCAUGUAUCUACAAUGCCACCACAAUCACCUUAUGCAUUGGCCCUGUCUACAAGUCCAUAUGCAAGACCGCAAGUACCCCAUACAAUGUUGCCCUCCAGACAUCAAGGAAUUGGUAGCAUCACCAGUAAUGCUGCUGUUUUUGGUUCUGCAAAUACAAAUCAGCUGCCAGCAGGCAGAUACUCGGUACCUUCUACACCGGAUUCUCAUUCUUUUUCUUCAUUAGGGGGAAACCCAUUUGGGUAGAUUCAAGAACGUAAGGGUUUUCUUUAUCUCAUCUUGGCUUCAUAAUCUUCCUGUCUGGCCUCCAAAGACAUUGGGAUGAAGUUCAGUUCCUUUCUGGUUGAAGAUUAAACGUAAUAAUUUUUCAGAAUGAGGUGGUUUGUCUUCUGCACCAUGGAAAGAAGAUUGGAUGUAGAACCAGAAGGAGCAUCUACACAUUCAUCAGGUAUCAAGAUAUACCGCAAAUGGACGGCUGUGUAAGCAAAUGCUCUGAUCCAUGCCAGUGAAGUCUCAAUGUUUUGGCAUUGUCUCCAUGUUCAAGAUUAGCCACCUUUAUAUAUGAUAUAAUGAAUAAAGCCAUGUUUCACUUCAUCUAUGAAUCAGAUUAGUAUAUAAAAUGAAAGAUUUCAUUGUGGUGA